UGGGGAAUCAUGGUCAAUGGGCGAAAGCCUGAACCUGCGACGCCGCGUGAGUGAUGAAGGUCGUAAGAUCGUAAAACUCUUUUCAGGGAUCUUAAAGCCUGUCUGUCAACAACAGGCAGGUCUGACUCUCCCUGGAAGAAGCCCCAGCCAACCACGUGCCAGCAGCUGCGGUAAUACGUAGGGGGCGAGCGUUAUUCGGAAUUACUGGGUGUAAAGGGUAUGUAGGCGGCCAUUCAAGUCGCGUGUCAAAGUCCAGUGCUCAACGCUGGGUGUACACGCGAUAGGGACGGGCUUGAUGGCUGGAGAGGUGAGCGGAAUUUCCGGUGUAGUGGUAAAAUACGUAGAGAUCGGGAGGAACACCAGCGGCGCAGGCGGCUCACUAGACAGUUUCUGACGCUAAGAUACGAAAACGUGGGGAGCAAACA
RNAcentral lists this ribosomal RNA (425 nucleotides) under uncultured prokaryote. RNAcentral's name for it is "bacterial SSU rRNA". It matches the Rfam family "Bacterial small subunit ribosomal RNA", at positions 355 to 774 of the family's 1533-position model. The record is from RNAcentral.